AGAGUUUGAUCCUGGCUCAGGAUGAACGCUAGCUACAGGCUUAACACAUGCAAGUCGAGGGGCAGCAUUUCAGUUUGCUUGCAAACUGGAGAUGGCGACCGGCGCACGGGUGAGUAACGCGUAUCCAACCUGCCCACCACUUGGGGAUAACCUUGCGAAAGUAAGACUAAUACCCAAUGAUAUCUCUAGAAGACAUCUGAAAGAGAUUAAAGAUUUAUCGGUGAUGGAUGGGGAUGCGUCUGAUUAGCUUGUUGGCGGGGUAACGGCCCACCAAGGCAACGAUCAGUAGGGGUUCUGAGAGGAAGGUCCCCCACAUUGGAACUGAGACACGGUCCAAACUCCUACGGGAGGCAGCA
RNAcentral lists this ribosomal RNA (356 nucleotides) under uncultured bacterium. RNAcentral's name for it is "bacterial SSU rRNA". It matches the Rfam family "Bacterial small subunit ribosomal RNA", at positions 8 to 353 of the family's 1533-position model. The record is from RNAcentral.